AAUAUGGCCCCAAACCAUGGGCAAGAAUCAUUUAUCCAUAACUGGUUCAGGUUCAUUCAGAUCUAAUCUCCACAUCCGCAUCAGAUGAUUAUUUGUCUCCUUCAUUUAAUCAUUGCUCACAUGUGUUUUUUAUGCUUAUGUGUUUUUUAUGCUUACGUGUUUUUCCUUUUCCUCAUCAUCUUAUUACUAGACUGAUGUUUGUAAAAUGAUGUCUCAUUUGGGAAGAUCAUUUUUUUAAAAAAACACGAACAAACAAGACAAAAACACAAUUCUAGCUUAAAAUUUUGAAAAUAUCCUUCUAAUUUAUUUAGAGCUGGGGGAAUAAGCCUUUAAGGCCCAAGAUAUUACAUGGGCCUAGCAAACAAAUAUACCUCUAAACUAGGGUUCUCAAGGGUAUAUAUAUUCACAACUACGCUUCGUUUCCUCUCUUGUUACCGUCACCGUGAAUUAGCCGAUCAGGGUUUCAAGAAAAAGAGUUUCUCCGACAUGAGAGCCAAGUGGAAGAAGAAGCGUAUGAGGAGGCUGAAGAGGAAGAGACGAAAGAUGAGACAGCGAUCUAAGUAGACUCAGAGAAAGAGAGAGUGACUCCUCUUGAAAGACUUUGCUUUUCCAUCUGCUUCCUUUGUUUCCCUUUUCGCUAGAGAUCUUUAAAAGUACUUUUGGUUUGGUCUCAUUUCAGUUUUUUAAGCGUUCGUAGCUUUGUUUUUGUCGGAUUGUAGAGAUCCUCAAUUAAUGGCAAUGCUAUAUGUUUUAGUUAA
This is a long non-coding RNA of Brassica napus (rape), 758 nucleotides long. RefSeq lists it as uncharacterized. Lineage: Eukaryota; Viridiplantae; Streptophyta; Magnoliopsida; Brassicales; Brassicaceae. The transcript has 2 exons. The record is from RefSeq and is a predicted model, not a curated record.